GGGGGCAGCCCUAAGAUGGCGCCCCCCGGCGGCGCGGCGCGGGGCUGGGCCUCGGGGCCCUGCGGCCCGGGGAGGGGCCGGGCGGUGCCGCUGGGCCCUGGUAACGCCCGGCCGGGCCGCGCCGCCCCCUUCCCUUCACUUCCCUGAGCCCAGCCUGGCCGCGCCGCGCUGUCCUCAGGCUGUCCCGGUGAGCCGGGCGCUGCCCUCAGGCUGAGCGCUCCCCCCCGGCCUCGCCGCCGCCAUCUUGGCGCGUGCAGGGGGAGGCGGCGGUGCCUGAGGCGCUGCCGGCAGCCCCCGGAGCUCAGCAGCAGCCUCUCGCCCUCACGGCCCUGACGGGCUUUGUUUUCAUCACAUUUUUAUAGCCUCCCUGUGUUGAACAAGCAUCAGAACGGAUGUUUUACUUGGUGUGCUGAUAACAUUCCCUGAUAAAUGACGCCCCGUGCCCAGGACACACCCAGGCAGGCUCGGUGCAGUUAGUCACACUUCCUCACCCUCCUGCCCCUUCGGCCUGCCCUGCCGCCACGCAGAGCUCCCCACGGAAGGAGUUUGUGCUGCUCCUUGCUGAGAAGGGGGUGAGGCAGGUCUUUUGCACCUGCCACCCUCGUAGGAGAAAUUUGACUCAUUUUCUGAUGAAUACGGAAGCUGCAGCCCCUGUUAAGAUAGUAAUUGGAGAGUUUGAAGUCUUUUCCCCAGCCAAAAGUGGACCACAGCGUACAAAAUACUGACAGCAAACGGUUGCCAGCCCGGGUGCUGUAGGAGAUGGAGCACCUCCAGGCUGCCUGCUGUCCCGUGGCUGUAGCUGCCCUGACAGUGUCACCUCUAUCAGCUGAAACAAAAGCUUCACUGAAGGUGAGGCUGGUGAGGAAAUGCUGGUGGAGGGACAAGCUUCUUUGAACAAAGGCCUCCAGACACAAGUGAAACCCAGGAGUGGUAAAGCAGUAACCUGUUCCAUGGAAUUCCUUCCCAGCCUGUGUGCUACUUUUGGAUCUUGACUUCUACCUCAGUUUUCAGCUUCAAAUAUCCAGGCUCGACGGCCAUGACUUGCCUGGGGAGCCCGUGCCAGUGCCCAGCCACCAGUGAAGAACCUUUUCCUAACACCCGGUCUGAACCUCCCGGACACAUCUCCAUGCCAUUAAUGAGGAAUGGCCCUUUACAGAUGGCCUUUUACUGAUUGUCCAGCAACCUGAAAGCACAAGAAUGAAGCAAAUACUGCAUCGUGAAGUCACUGGCCAUCAGAGACUUAAGAUCCCUUUCCCUUCUCAAAAUGUUUUAUAAAGUAGCUAGGUAUGCGUGAACUAUCUACACCCGAAACUACACAGGGUAAUGCAGAAGAAAUCUUUGUCAGCAGUCAGCUAUGCACAGUUGACACGCUGACAGACCCAGGCCUGGAAUAAAUAGAUUUUGAUCCAAGAGCCACAGGAAAAUCUCAGCUCUUUGUUCCUGCACUAUUCUGUGUGGGUGGAGAGAGAAAAAAUCAAGCAUUUGCCUCAGAGCAGCACUCUGUUCUCAAGAGACACGUGGAGCCAAGUGAAAGAAGUGGCAAGAGGAAUUUAUCUGGUAGUUAAAGACUUGUCUUCAUCCAGGAGUCAAAAUGAACAAAAGGUCACGUUGUAUUUUUCACAGGAGGAGACUCUCAAUUGUUUUCACCAAGAUGCAGAAUAAACAUUUACAAUUAAAAAUUGAUAGAAA
Anas platyrhynchos (mallard) is the source of this 1689-nucleotide non-coding RNA. The record is from RefSeq and is a predicted model, not a curated record. NCBI's taxonomy places the organism in Eukaryota, Metazoa, Chordata, Aves, Anseriformes, Anatidae.